UACGGAGGGUGCGAGCGUUAAUCGGAAUAACUGGGCGUAAAGCGCACGCAGGCGGUCUGUUAAGUGAGGUGUGAAAUCCCCGGGCUUAACCUGGGAAUAGCAUUUCAGACUGGGAAGCUAGAGUACUGUAGGGGGGGGUAGAAUUCCACGUGUAGCGGUGAAAUGCGUAGAGAUGUGGAGGAAUACCGAAGGCGAAGGCGGCCCCUUGGAAAAGGACUGACGCUCAUGUGCGAAAGCGUGGGGAGCAAACAGG
This 253-nucleotide ribosomal RNA is filed under the name uncultured bacterium. Its description in RNAcentral is "partial 16S ribosomal RNA". It matches the Rfam family "Bacterial small subunit ribosomal RNA", at positions 524 to 776 of the family's 1533-position model. The record is from RNAcentral.